CCUACGAGAGGCAGCAGUGGGGGAUAUUGCACAAUGGGGGGAACCCUGAUGCAGCGACGCCGCGUGUGUGAAGAAGCGCCUCGGCGCGUAAAGCCCUGUCAGCAGGGAAGAAAAUGACGGUACCUGAAGAAGAAACCCCGGCUAACUACGUACCAGCAGCCGCGGGAAGACGUAGGGGGCAAGCGUUAUCCGGAUUUACUGGGUGUAAAGGGGGCGCAGACGGCGGAGCAAGCCAGGAGUGAAAGCCCGGGGCCCAACCCCGGGGCUGCUCUUGGAACUGGGUGGCUGGAGUGCAGGAGGGGCAGGCGGAAUUCCAGGUGUAGCGGUGAAAUGCGUAGAUAUGAGGAGGAACACCGGUGGCGAAGGCGGCCUGCUGGACUGCAACUGACGUUGAGGCGCGAAAGCGUGGGGAGCAAACAGGAUUAGAUACCCUUGUAGUC
Molecule: ribosomal RNA, 440 nt
Filed under: uncultured bacterium
Lineage: Bacteria
Description: partial 16S ribosomal RNA
Rfam family: Bacterial small subunit ribosomal RNA
Source: RNAcentral